Molecule: ribosomal RNA, 585 nt
Filed under: uncultured bacterium
Lineage: Bacteria
Description: partial 16S ribosomal RNA
Rfam family: Bacterial small subunit ribosomal RNA
Source: RNAcentral
UGGGGAAUUUUGGACAAUGGGCGAAAGCCUGAUCCAGCAAUGCCGCGUGUGUGAAGAAGGCCUUCGGGUUGUAAAGCACUUUUGUCCGGAAAGAAAUCCUUGGCUCUAAUACAGUCGGGGGAUGACGGUACCGGAAGAAUAAGCACCGGCUAACUACGUGCCAGCAGCCGCGGUAAUACGUAGGGUGCAAGCGUUAAUCGGAAUUACUGGGCGUAAAGCGUGCGCAGGCGGUUUGCUAAGACCGAUGUGAAAUCCCGGGCUCAACCUGGGAACUGCAUUGGUGACUGGCAGGCUAGAGUAUGGCAGAGGGGGGUUAGAAUUCCACGUGUAGCAGUGAAAUGCGUAGAGAUGUGGAGGAAUACCGAUGGCGAAGGCAGCCCCCUGGGCCAAUACUGACGCUCAUGCACGAAAGCGUGGGGAGCAAACAGGAUUAGAUACCCCUGGUAGUCCACGCCCUAAACGAUGUCAACUAGUUGUUGGGGAUUCAUUUCCUUAGUAACGUAGCUAACGCGUGAAGUUGACCGCCUGGGGAGUACGGUCGCAAGAUUAAAACUCAAUGAAUUGACGGGGUCAUAGCUGUUUCCU